UCCCUGUGUUGAGGAAGAUAAUGACGGUACUCAACAAGGAAGUGACGGCUAACUACGUGCCAGCAGCCGCGGUAAAACGUAGGUCACAAGCGUUGUCCGGAAUUACUGGGUGUAAAGGGAGCGCAGGCGGGAAGACAAGUUGGAAGUGAAAUCCAUGGGCUCAACCCAUGAACUGCUUUCAAAACUGUUUUUCUUGAGUAGUGCAGAGGUAGGCGGAAUUCCCGGUGUAGCGGUGGAAUGCGUAGAUAUCGGGAGGAACACCAGUGGCGAAGGCGGCCUACUGGGCACCAACUGACGCUGAGGCUCGAAAGUGUGGGUAGCAAACAGGAUUAGAUACCCUGGUAGUCCACACUGUAAACGAUGAUUACUAGGUGUUGGAGGAUUGACCCCUUCAGUGCCGCAGUUAACACAAUAAGUAAUCCACCUGGGGAGUACGACCGCAAGGUUGAAACUCAAAGGAAUUGACGGGGGCCCGCACAAGCAGUGGAGUAUGUGGUUUAAUUCGACGCAACGCGAAGAACCUUACCAAGUCUUGACAUCCUGCGACGGUGCUGGAAACAGUACUUUCCUUCGGGACGCAGAGACAGGUGGUGCAUGGUUGUCGUCAGCUCGUGUCGUGAGAUGUUGGGUUAAGUCCCGCAACGAGCGCAACCCUUAUGGUCAGUUACUACGCAAGAGGACUCUGGCCAGACUGC
Molecule: ribosomal RNA, 695 nt
Filed under: Faecalibacterium prausnitzii
Lineage: Bacteria; Bacillati; Bacillota; Clostridia; Eubacteriales; Oscillospiraceae
Description: bacterial SSU rRNA
Rfam family: Bacterial small subunit ribosomal RNA
Source: RNAcentral